Molecule: ribosomal RNA, 471 nt
Filed under: uncultured bacterium
Lineage: Bacteria
Description: bacterial SSU rRNA
Rfam family: Bacterial small subunit ribosomal RNA
Source: RNAcentral
GACGAACGCUGGCGGCGCGCUUAACACAUGCAAGUCGAGCGAUGAAACUUUAACAGAACCCUUCGGGGCGAAGAUAAAGUGGAUUAGCGGCGGACGGGUGAGUAACACGUGAGUAACCUGCCUUAGACAUUGGGAUAGCCUCGGGAAACCGGGAUUAAUACCAAAUAAAAUCAUAAUGACACAUGUCAUAACGAUCAAAACUCCGGUGGUCUAAGAUGGACUCGCGUCCCAUUAGCUAGUUGGUAGAGUAAAAGCCUACCAAGGCGACGAUGGGUAGCCGGCCUGAGAGGGUGAACGGCCACAUUGGAACUGAGAAACGGGUCCAAACUCCUACGGGAGGCAGCAGUGGGGAAUAUUGCACAAUGGAGGGAACUCUGAUGCAGCGACGCCGCGUGAACGAAGAAGGCCUUCGAGUCGUAAAAGUUCUUUUAUAUGGGAAGAUAAUGACGGUACCAUAAGAAGAAGCCCCGG